Long non-coding RNA from Gossypium raimondii (Peruvian cotton), 611 nucleotides. RefSeq lists it as uncharacterized. Lineage: Eukaryota; Viridiplantae; Streptophyta; Magnoliopsida; Malvales; Malvaceae. The transcript is spliced from 2 exons. The record is from RefSeq and is a predicted model, not a curated record.
UCACGUUGAAGAGAAGAGAGGAAAGAAAUUUUUACUUUCUUUACAAUUUGGUCCUUUUACAAAAAAUUCACCAUUUUCACUUAGAAAUCAAAAGAAUUUUCAUAUCCAUCAAGAGAGAAAGAUAACAAGGAGACUAUGGGGAGCUAGAAUAUCAAGUUAGAUUCAAGAAAUAGAAGCUGAAGGAGAGAGAAAAUCAAGUUAAAGAUUGAAAUCAAUAGCACAAGGGCAAUUGAGAGAAAUAGGAGCGAAAAACGAGUGAAAAUUAGAACAUUGGAGCAUUCUGGAAGCUGUACACAUGCAACAGACUUUUACACGGGCAAUCCAGAUGGCUAUGUGAUCCAUACGGGUGUGUAUCCAGGGCAUGUUGAUCUUGAGAACCGUGUGCACUAACAAUUGAAAAUUACGAUUUUUAGGGUUUUUUGGCACUUGAAGAAGACAUAAAUAAGGAAAUAAAGGAGGGAAGUGUUGGAAGAUUGGGUUUGGAAAAUGCAGCCGAAAAUAGGUUUAAGAGAAAAUCAAAGUUUUAUUUUUUUAUUUUUUCUAAAAAUAAGAACUUGGUUGUGUUAUCUAAGGUAACAAACACUUAAUCAAAAUCGUGCAUUUAUGAUUCA